AGAGUUUGAUCAUGGCUCAGGAUGAACGCUAGCGGGAGGCCUAACACAUGCAAGUCGAACGGGAUUGAGAGCUUGCUCUCAUGAGAGUGGCGCACGGGUGAGUAACGCGUAUGCAACCUACCUUUAACUGAGGGAUAGCCCAUAGAAAUGUGGAUUAAUACCUCAUAGUUCUGAACUUCCGCAUGGGAAAUCAGAUAAAGCUCCGGCGGUUAAAGAUGGGCAUGCGUGACAUUAGCUAGUUGGUAAGGUAACGGCUUACCAAGGCUACGAUGUCUAGGGGUUCUGAGAGGAUGAUCCCCCACACUGGUACUGAGACACGGACCAGACUCCUACGGGAGGCAGCAGUGAGGAAUAUUGGUCAAUGGGCGCAAGCCUGAACCAGCCAUCCCGCGUGAAGGAUGAAGGCCCUAUGGGUCGUAAACUUCUUUUAUACACCAAGAAAAACACCCACGUGUGGGUGCCCGACGGUAGUGUAUGAAUAAGCAUCGGCUAACUCCGUGCCAGCAGCCGCGGUAAUACGGAGGAUGCAAGCGUUAUCCGGAUUCAUUGGGUUUAAAGGGUGCGUAGGCGGCUUUUUAAGUCAGUGGUGAAAUCUUGCCGCUUAACGGUAAAAUUGCCAUUGAUACUGAUAAGCUUGAAUACAA
This 644-nucleotide ribosomal RNA is filed under the name uncultured bacterium. Its description in RNAcentral is "bacterial SSU rRNA". It matches the Rfam family "Bacterial small subunit ribosomal RNA", at positions 8 to 651 of the family's 1533-position model. The record is from RNAcentral.